This is a non-coding RNA of Calypte anna (Anna's hummingbird), 75 nucleotides long. The record is from Rfam. NCBI's taxonomy places the organism in Eukaryota, Metazoa, Chordata, Aves, Apodiformes, Trochilidae.
GAAAAAUGAAGAUACUCUGAUUGCUUCCUAUUAUCCAGUGAAGACCUCAGAUCCAACUCUGAUUUCACUCUUACU